AACACUGGGGUUAUAACCAUGUAUCAACUUUAGCAAAACAUUACCAUUAUCUGAUACUAAAUUGGAAACACCCAAGUCCCUAAAACAGAAAAAUCACAUGAGAACUCCAACAUUCAGCCAACAAAUUAAACGUAAAAGGGAUCAAGAUAUCAAGAGAACCACAUCCUCUACAGUAACACUAAAGAGUAAAUAAUAAACCAAGAAAUAUAUGCUACAAGAAUCAACAAAAAAAUUGAAUUAAAAAAAAAAGAUUGAUAAGAAUUAUUUUUUUUACUAGAGAGUGCAAAUAAAAUCUCGAGGCUCCAAACUGUGAAGAAAGUUAAAAUCUUGACAACCCAAGCUGCAGAAAAACACAUUCACAGUUCAAUUCGUUUAUAAGGAAUAAUAAAGAACUCACAGAUGAAAUUUUAUUUGUCUAUCUAAAGAAAUUCGCUAUAAUAUGUUGAAUCAAUGAUCAAUAUCCGUACUCUGACUCGCUGCAAAACAUAUAAACGCAUAUCUCGAUUAUCCAAUGACGAAUUAUAUAAAAUAAUCUCAAAAUUUACAAAUAAUUCUUGAUAACCGAUCCAUAAAAGAUGUAGCACCAAUUUCAACCAAGGCAGAACGGGAAGGUGUGUACCUCUGCCUGCCACACAUUUAUAGGCUACUUCCCCUACAACGCCUACACAAAAAACUCAAAAGAGC
This 684-nucleotide long non-coding RNA is filed under the name Trifolium pratense (red clover). RNAcentral's name for it is "long non-coding RNA (TPRA_LNC007140)". Lineage: Eukaryota; Viridiplantae; Streptophyta; Magnoliopsida; Fabales; Fabaceae. The record is from RNAcentral.